GGACAGUCUGGGAGCCACCUAGGAGGAGAAUGGGGUGCAGCUGUCAACCCCAGGGCUGUUUGGAGUGGCUGAAACAGCAGCGUAGCAAUGGACUGCUGUAGCAGAGGAGUUCAGCACAGCUCCAUCAAAUGGUUCUUUGGAUCGAGCAUAGAAACUGGUCAGAUCUCUUCCACCCGUACCCUGUAUCACCAGAGAACAGAAUUUCCAUGCAGCCACUGGUUUGUCCUCAGACAGCGGCACUAGAAGUUACCGCGUUCAGCUUUUGUCCUAUUGCCUGGCUUCCCUGCCCUUGAUCUUCUUCCAGCAGUGGAAACAGCUCUCAUCUUCUCUUGAAUGAGAAUAUCAGUCUACCAACACCAGGUGCUUCUUUCCUUUUUUAAGAGGUAAGUUUGUAAAUUUCUGAGCCAUUUAUUUCAAACCUAAUACUGUAGUGAAGCAAAAUAACAAACGAAGUAAAUUAACAAUUGUAUUAUACUAUGGGGAAAUCAAAUGAUAAUAUAACAAAAACUUGCAG
Molecule: long non-coding RNA, 514 nt
Filed under: Gallus gallus (chicken)
Lineage: Eukaryota; Metazoa; Chordata; Aves; Galliformes; Phasianidae
Description: lncRNA (ENSGALG00010024381.1)
Source: RNAcentral